GAUGAACGCUAGCGAUAGGCUUAACACAUGCAAGUCGAGGGGCAGCAUGGUCUUAGCUUGCUAAGACUGAUGGCGACCGGCGCACGGGUGCGUAACGCGUAUGCAACUUGCCUCACAGAGGGGGAUAACCCGUCGAAAGACGGACUAAUACCGCGUACACUUGGGAUAGGGCAUCCUGACCCAAGGAAAUGAAAUUCGCUGUGAGAUAGGCAUGCGUCCCAUUAGCUAGUUGGUGAGGUAACGGCUCACCAAGGCGACGAUGGGUAGGGGAACUGAGAGGGUGCACCCCCACACUGGUACUGAGACACGGACCAGACUCCUACGGGAGGCAGCAGUGAGGAAUAUUGGUCAAUGGGCGAGAGCCUGAACCAGCCAAGUCGCGUGAAGGAUGACUGUCUUAUGGAUUGUAAACUUCUUUUAUACGGGAAUAACAAGAGCCACGUGUGGCUCCCUGCAUGUACCGUAUGAAUAAGCAUCGGCUAACUCCGUG
RNAcentral lists this ribosomal RNA (490 nucleotides) under uncultured bacterium. Its description in RNAcentral is "partial 16S ribosomal RNA". It matches the Rfam family "Bacterial small subunit ribosomal RNA", at positions 28 to 507 of the family's 1533-position model. The record is from RNAcentral.